GUCCACGCCCUAAACGAUGUCGACUGGUUGUUGGGUGGGUAACCACUUAGUAACGAAGCUAACGCGUGAAGUCGACCGCCUGGGGAGUACGGUCGCAAGAUUAAAACUCAAAGGAAUUGACGGGGACCCGCACAAGCGGUGGAUGAUGUGGUUUAAUUCGAUGCAACGCGAAAAACCUUACCUACACUUGACAUGUCAGAAAUCCUUCAGAGAUGAGGGAGUGCCGCAAGGAAUCUGAACACAGGUGCUGCAUGGCUGUCGU
Molecule: ribosomal RNA, 262 nt
Filed under: uncultured bacterium
Lineage: Bacteria
Description: partial 16S ribosomal RNA
Rfam family: Bacterial small subunit ribosomal RNA
Source: RNAcentral